RNAcentral lists this non-coding RNA (104 nucleotides) under Chloroflexota bacterium. Its description in RNAcentral is "Chloroflexi bacterium TPP sequence". It matches the Rfam family "TPP riboswitch aptamer (THI element)". Rfam says of the family: Vitamin B(1) in its active form thiamin pyrophosphate (TPP) is an essential coenzyme that is synthesised by coupling of pyrimidine and thiazole moieties in bacteria. The previously detected thiamin-regulatory element, thi box was extended, resulting in a new, highly conserved RNA secondary structure, the THI element, which is widely distributed in eubacteria and also occurs in some archaea. Analysis of operon structures identified a large number of new candidate thiamin-regulated genes, mostly transporters, in various prokaryotic organisms. Lineage: Bacteria; Bacillati; Chloroflexota. The record is from RNAcentral.
AAGAACCGCUGGGGGUGCUCCGGGCUGAGACCCCGAUGAAAAUCGGGGGACCCUUGGAACCUGAACUCGGUAAUACGAGCGGAGGGAAGCGGACCUUACUGUAA